RNAcentral lists this long non-coding RNA (846 nucleotides) under Coffea arabica (coffee). RNAcentral describes it as "long non-coding RNA (CARA_LNC000713)". The record is from RNAcentral. Lineage: Eukaryota; Viridiplantae; Streptophyta; Magnoliopsida; Gentianales; Rubiaceae.
AUGAAUCCAAGUCUAUAGCACCGGUGCCUAAAGAAUAUUCCAUAUUGGUCAACAACUACUGGCCACCCUGCUGGAUCUUUCAGAUCUCUGGGCUGUCUAAAGAAUCCAAGGAUGAGGAUUGCUACUGAGGCAGCUAGUGAGAAUCUAAAAUCCACAGGAUAUUUUGCUUUUCCAGUGUUAUUGGCUUGAAAAUUUACCACCAUCAGAUAGUAGUGGUGCAAACAACAUCCAUAUCUUUGAUGUGGUCCUGGUGCAUCAAAAGAUGCAUGCACUACAACCAGCAUCCACAAGAAAAUGAUAUGAGAAUUUGCCUUUGAAAUCUUAAGGGAAAACUGCGGACUAGGCUCCAGAAGAAGCACCAUCAUCCAUCUCAUGCUGACAUCCGUGGAUGCCAACUGAAACCAAACACAUGAAAAUCAUUUUCUUGAUGUUCAGGAUAGAAGCUAUUAAGAAGUGUACGCUUGGAAGUGAAACUGCUGUCGCAAACCACUGAGUAGCACUACAUGGUAAUUCACAAUUUUUCACAUAUCAAAGUAUCAAACUGAACGCAGAACUGUUUCAUCAUGAAGUCAGUUCUGCUAAGUUAUUGGGCAUCAUUAACGCCAGGCUUCAAUUCUCUCUGUCAGGGAGUUUAUACGGCUCAAAUUGCUGAUUCCUUUGCUCUUAUUCUGAACUCCAAUAGCUAGAGCCACCAUAUGCUGCUCCUCUGUUCUCUUAGUACAGUUCAUCUGAAUGGAAUCACUGGACUGGCCAGUUCUGCUUUCUGGGAUGCUCUCUUUGAUGUCAUUCCUUGGACCACUUGCUAGAUUGGUUGCUGUAUAGGGACCAAUGGGAGUUCCACUAGAC